UUUCCGUAGGUGAACCUGCGGAAGGAUCAUUAAUGUGUUUGGGCCUCACGGCUCUUCAUUCCGACGCUGUGCGCCUUCGGGCUGCACGCUGAGGGAGCAUAUAUCCUCCCCUGUGCACACACACGGUGGCGAGCUGGGUAACGGCUCGCCGCUGAUCUUUACACACGUCUAAAAGUCAUUGUAUGUUUAUUUGAGAUAAAAACACAACUUUCAGCAACGGAUCUCUUGGCUCUC
This 234-nucleotide unclassified non-coding RNA is filed under the name plant metagenome. RNAcentral's name for it is "partial contains small subunit ribosomal RNA, internal transcribed spacer 1, and 5.8S ribosomal RNA". The record is from RNAcentral.